This is an RNA transcript of Cyprinus carpio (common carp), 1121 nucleotides long. It is a transcript of the gene named dynein light chain 1, cytoplasmic-like, with no coding region annotated. The record is from RefSeq and is a predicted model, not a curated record. NCBI's taxonomy places the organism in Eukaryota, Metazoa, Chordata, Actinopteri, Cypriniformes, Cyprinidae. The transcript has 3 exons.
UAAUGACAGAAUUUUAGUUUUUGGCUGAACUAUCCCUUUAAGGCUGAACGCUAGUCUUUAGAUUCUUUUACACGUACAGUCUUUACUGGUAAAUUACAGAUAAAUUACUGUAAAGCGAUCAUGUGUGAACAGGACCUUUUUUAAAAAUACUGGUAAACUCGUUCCUGCAAUUUACCUGUAUGGGAAGUUGUAACAUUAGGCUAUCAGUAAAUUACCGGUAAUCUGCUCUGUGUGAAUGCAGAACGAGAUUACUAUGAGCACCUACAAAUUCAAAAGCAAAGCAGCUGCAUGAAUGUGAACGUUUUACAGAAAAGUGAAAACAUCAACAAAAACACUGACCUUACAAACACAACACAGUACACGCAGCCGUUUAGAGGUCAUUUCAGUUUACUAUUGUCACAGAAGUUACUGGCAUGUGUCUCUGCAGUUUUCUUUUCUGUUCUAUUCUCUGCAUUGUGCUGUUAGUGAUUAAUGAUCUAGGAAUGUUGUCAAGUAAAGUUGUGAAUGCUGAGAGGUGGAAAGGAUGAAGGCAAGAACAGGUGGAGUCAGUUACAUAUUUAUUUUACUUUUGUUCAGCUUGAGUGUCUCAGACACUGUGAGUGAAUCAUAGCUAUAAUUGCAUUGUUUAGAGAUCAGAACAUAAUAAGAAUCUGUACUUACGGCUGCAGAUCAACAUGGCGAGAUCAUCGAUUGUGAUCCAUAAUGCAGUCAUGAGUGACGAGAUGCAGCGUGAGGCUCUGCAGUGUGCUCUUCUGGCUGUGAAUAUGUACCAAAAUGCAAGUGGCAUUGCUACCUACAUUGCGAAGGAAUUUGACAGAAAGUAUCAACGCACCUGGCAUUGCGUCGUGGGGAAUACCUUUUCUAGUUAUGUGCAACAUACGAGUAACUCUUACAUGUUCUUCAGUGUAAGCGACAAAAAUAUUCUGCUCUUCAAGACUGGCUGAAUGACAGCAAUAGUUUAAAUGCAUUUUAUAAUAAGAUGCUGGAGUUGUGUCAUGAUUACACUAUAUGCUAUCGAUUCAAUAAACAUUGUAUGACUAGAUUUCUCUCAUUCCUGAUCUGUGUAUUUGGUUCAAUGUCUUGCUCUUUACACAUUAAUAAAUUACACAUAUUAUUACAAU